CCUACGGGCGGCAGCAGUGGGGAAUAUUGGGCAAUGGGCGCAAGCCUGACCCAGCAACGCCGCGUGAAGGAAGAAGGCUCUCGGGUUGUAAACUUCUUUUCUCAGGGACGAAGCAAGUGACGGUACCUGACGAAUAAGCCACGGCUAACUACGUGCCAGCAGCCGCGGUAAUACGUAGGUGGCAAGCGUUAUCCGGAUUUACUGGGUGUAAAGGGCGUGUAGGCGGGACAGCAAGUCAGAUGUGAAAUCCAUGGGCUCAACCUGGGAACUGCAUUUGAAACUGUUGUUCUUGAGUGCUGGAGAGGCAGGCGGAAUUCCGAGUGUAGCGGUGAAAUGCGUAGAUAUACGGAGGAACACCAGUGGCGAAGGCGGUCUGCUGGACAUCAACUGACGCUGAGGCGCGAAAGCGUGGGGAGCAAACAGGAUUAGAUACCCGAGUAGUC
This 443-nucleotide ribosomal RNA is filed under the name uncultured bacterium. RNAcentral describes it as "partial 16S ribosomal RNA". It matches the Rfam family "Bacterial small subunit ribosomal RNA", at positions 338 to 795 of the family's 1533-position model. The record is from RNAcentral.